This 429-nucleotide ribosomal RNA is filed under the name Bacteroidota bacterium. Its description in RNAcentral is "Bacteroidetes bacterium partial 16S ribosomal RNA". It matches the Rfam family "Bacterial small subunit ribosomal RNA", at positions 355 to 776 of the family's 1533-position model. The record is from RNAcentral. Lineage: Bacteria; Pseudomonadati; Bacteroidota.
UAGGGAAUCUUCGGCAAUGGGGGGAACCCUGACCGAGCAACGCCGCGUGAGUGAAGAAGGUUUUCGGAUCGUAUAGCUCUGUUGUUAAGGAAGAACGAGUGUGAGAAUGGAAAGUUCAUGCUGUGACGGUACUUAACCAGAAAGGGACGGCUAACUACGUGCCAGCAGCCGCGGUAAUACGUAGGUCCCGAGCGUUGUCCGGAUUUAUUGGGCGUAAAGCGAGCGCAGGCGGUUAGAAAAGUCUGAAGUGAAAGGCAGUGGCUCAACCAUUGUAGGCUUUGGAAACUGUUUAACUUGAGUGCAGAAGGGGAGAGUGGAAUUCCAUGUGUAGCGGUGAAAUGCGUAGAUAUAUGGAGGAACACCGGUGGCGAAAGCGGCUCUCUGGUCUGUAACUGACGCUGAGGCUCGAAAGCGUGGGGAGCGAACAGG